AGUUGAUUAUGGCUCAAGAACGAACGCUGGCGGCGCGUCUUAAGCAUGCAAGUCGAACGGCAAGAGGUAGCAAUACCUCCUAGAGUGGCGGACUGGUGAGUAACACGUGGGUGACAUACCCUUCAGAUGGGGAUAGCUAUUAGAAAUAGUAGAUAAUACCGAAUACGAGCACAGGGGUUAGAGAUCUGUGAGGAAAGGAGCUAAGGCUCCGCUGAAGGAAUGGCCUGCGGCCCAUUAGCUAGUUGGUGAGGUAAGAGCCCACCAAGGCGAUGAUGGGUAUCCGGCCUUAGAGGGUGAACGGACACAUUGGGACUGAGAUACGGCCCAGACUCCUACGGGAGGCAGCAGCUAAGAAUAUUCCGCAAUGGACGAAAGUCUGACGGAGCGACGCCGCGUGGAUGAAGAAGGCCGGAAGGUUGUAAAAAUCCUUUUGAAACUGAAGAAUAAGCGUUGUAGGGAAUGACAGCGUGGUGACAGUAGGUUUUGAAUAAGCAACGGCUAAUUACGUGCCAGCCGCGGC
RNAcentral lists this ribosomal RNA (520 nucleotides) under uncultured bacterium. RNAcentral's name for it is "bacterial SSU rRNA". It matches the Rfam family "Bacterial small subunit ribosomal RNA", at positions 10 to 518 of the family's 1533-position model. The record is from RNAcentral.